This is a long non-coding RNA of Orcinus orca (killer whale), 735 nucleotides long. RefSeq lists it as uncharacterized. NCBI's taxonomy places the organism in Eukaryota, Metazoa, Chordata, Mammalia, Artiodactyla, Delphinidae. The transcript has 2 exons. The record is from RefSeq and is a predicted model, not a curated record.
UUAAGAAGGGAAGAUCAACACAAAGGGCAUUCCUCCAUGCUGCCCUGUGAGAGGCGACUGAGCUUCCUUGUGUUUGGAGAGCUGAAAUUGAGUUAGGCGCCUGCGCUUAAGGUGGCAACCCCGCCCCCAGCACUCCUGCCUAAGUUUAGAGAAGCUGAACAUUUGCCUCCUGGUUUGUGGAAGGAAAGCCUGGGAAUCUGACGUGCGGGUUGCAGAAGCUGGGGCCCGCUGUCGGAGUUCCAGCAAAGCUGAACAAUCCGAAUCUAGGCUCAGAAUGCAAAUCCUGGGACCCUCGCCGCCUGAGUCGGAAAAGCUGGCGAUCCGCCAGCUGCCUGAAUUGAGGUACUCAGAGCAGAGCCUGGGUUCAGGAAGGGCGGUCGGAGUCCCGCCACUCCGAGGUCGGAGAAGCUGAUGCCCACCCGCCGCCCAGGUUCUAGGAGCCGUCUGCCCAUAUCUACGCCAAGGGGACACUGAGAGGCGUGUUUCUGAUGGUCUUUGACGAAUUUGGACAACACCUACCCUUGCGUGAAAAUCAGGCCUCCAGGGGACUUCGCUCUUCCUUCCAGAACCUUCUAGAUCUGGGCUGAACUUGUGGCCUGAGACCUGCUUUCCAGCUCUCUGUGGAGAAGCCAGCAGCAGAUCUGAGAGACUUGAAACUGCAAUUGGAUUAUGUCGCUUGUUCUUCAUCCUACUGGAUGAUCCCAUUACAAAUAAUACUUGUAAUGACAGCUGUCA